UGUCAAAUUGUAUAAAUUUUAUUUUAUAUGAACUGUUAAGUAGAUUUCUGCCUUUCCCUCUUUAGGUGAAUGUGUUCUUCUGGUAAUGAAGUAGGCCUACUGACUUCGCCUGAACUCAGUAAGCUUCUUGAAGCUAAAGACUUGCCAGCACUGUUGAUUAAUAUAUGCUCCAUGCAGUCAAAGAGUCUAUGUUAAGGUGUUAAUGGAGCACACUAGGGAUUAUGAGAAUACAGUAUUAACUUUCUGAUUACACACACCAAAUCUAGUGGGAAGAGUAUCUAGCGUAAAAUCCCUCCUUGUCUUUCCUCUUUUCGAUGAGGCUAAUUAACAUCUUUAAGCUAAGCAGAUCCCAGGAAACAUCAAAGCAUACGGUUAAAUUAUCACAAUUAGUCCACUGGAAGUCAUUAUCCAGUCAUGGGGAUUGGGGAAUGCAGGGGAAAGAGAUGAGUGGAGUACUGUGAGGGUGUAGUAGAAACAAUGUAGUAGGAACCAAAAAAUAGGGAUAGAGACAAAAGGGAAAACUGGAUGCUCAUAAUCUGAUAUUAAACAAAACCUCAUUUGCUAAUGUGUGAUGAUGGUUCUUCACCUCUGCUAAUGUGUGAGGGACAUGGGGAAGCUUGUACAAGAAUGAAGCAUUUACACCAGAUCUCUCCGGAGCAACACACACCCUUCAGUGUAGAUGAAUCUGUUUCCUCUAUGGGAUCACAAUCCUGGGCUGAGUUUCCCAUGCCCUCUAGUGCGGUUUCAAUGGGAGAUGGAGACUAGCUUAUUUUUUCUUGAGCAUUGAAUAAUACAAUGACUGAACAACUGGGUUUAUGUCACCAAGAAACACAGCAAAAUAAUGAGCAGACUAAUGGAUGGAGGCAGAUCUGAACGUGAGAUGAGGUUGAUUGUAAAAAAGGGGCAGGGUUUAAGCAGACUAAACUGACCUAUUUGCACUCGGCCACAUCAUGAUAUAUUGAUCAUGUAGCUAUCCGAUUGUGAAAAAUAACCAGAUGUAAAUGCCCUCUGAAACACAUUCAAGAUGGAUUGCAGUCUUCAGGAAGAGCAUCUGGUUGUUUAAAUCAUAUAUGCAAAUGUUACAUAUUUUUUAAGUGUAAAUGGAACAGUUUUUACAAAUGAGAUAACAAAGCUGAUCUGAGAAAAUGCAUUAAGCGACAAGUGUAAACAGGCCCAGUGAUUGGUGAAGGCCAGCAUACUUCACACCAAACAAGAUGCUUUAAAAAAUAGAAAUGGUGAGUUUUACAUUUAAUGACAACUUUAAAAUUAAUAUCUGAAAUUAAUUUUAAUUUCAAGCCCUUAUGUUUGACAGUAUGAACUGGAUGAAGUGAUUAAUCAUGAGCAAUCGUGCUAAUUACCUGUACGGGGUACAACCUAAUGUUCAUUUGAGUCCACCUGUGUUCAGUUGCUAGAUGGCAUCAUUAAUUCCAGUUUGAGAGUUUUGCUCAGUUGAGUUUUCAUAACUGAAAUAGAAGCACACAUUAAUCCUGCUGUCUGUGGG
This is a long non-coding RNA of Cyprinus carpio (common carp), 1501 nucleotides long. RefSeq lists it as uncharacterized. NCBI's taxonomy places the organism in Eukaryota, Metazoa, Chordata, Actinopteri, Cypriniformes, Cyprinidae. The record is from RefSeq and is a predicted model, not a curated record. The transcript is spliced from 3 exons.